This 1292-nucleotide ribosomal RNA is filed under the name Streptomyces ardesiacus. RNAcentral describes it as "bacterial SSU rRNA". It matches the Rfam family "Bacterial small subunit ribosomal RNA", at positions 112 to 1407 of the family's 1533-position model. The record is from RNAcentral. Lineage: Bacteria; Bacillati; Actinomycetota; Actinomycetes; Kitasatosporales; Streptomycetaceae.
AACACGUGGGCAAUCUGCCCUGCACUCUGGGACAAGCCCUGGAAACGGGGUCUAAUACCGGAUACUGACCUGCCAAGGCAUCUUGGCGGGUCGAAAGCUCCGGCGGUGCAGGAUGAGCCCGCGGCCUAUCAGCUUGUUGGUGAGGUAAUGGCUCACCAAGGCGACGACGGGUAGCCGGCCUGAGAGGGCGACCGGCCACACUGGGACUGAGACACGGCCCAGACUCCUACGGGAGGCAGCAGUGGGGAAUAUUGCACAAUGGGCGAAAGCCUGAUGCAGCGACGCCGCGUGAGGGAUGACGGCCUUCGGGUUGUAAACCUCUUUCAGCAGGGAAGAAGCGAAAGUGACGGUACCUGCAGAAGAAGCGCCGGCUAACUACGUGCCAGCAGCCGCGGUAAUACGUAGGGCGCAAGCGUUGUCCGGAAUUAUUGGGCGUAAAGAGCUCGUAGGCGGCUUGUCGCGUCGGUUGUGAAAAGCCCGGGGCUUAACCCCGGGUCUGCAGUCGAUACGGGCAGGCUAGAGUUCGGUAGGGGAGAUCGGAAUUCCUGGUGUAGCGGUGAAAUGCGCAGAUAUCAGGAGGAACACCGGUGGCGAAGGCGGAUCUCUGGGCCGAUACUGACGCUGAGGAGCGAAAGCGUGGGGAGCGAACAGGAUUAGAUACCCUGGUAGUCCACGCCGUAAACGGUGGGCACUAGGUGUGGGCAACAUUCCACGUUGUCCGUGCCGCAGCUAACGCAUUAAGUGCCCCGCCUGGGGAGUACGGCCGCAAGGCUAAAACUCAAAGGAAUUGACGGGGGCCCGCACAAGCGGCGGGAGCAUGUGGCUUAAUUCGACGCAACGCGAAGAACCUUACCAAGGCUUGACAUACACCGGAAACCUUCAGAGAUGGGCCCCCCCUUGUGGUCGGUGUACAGGUGGUGCAUGGGGCUGUCGUCAGCUCGUGUCGUGAGAUGUUGGGUUAAGUCCCGCAACGAGCGCAACCCUUGUCCCGUGUUGCCAGCAACUCUUCGGAGGUUGGGGACUCACGGGAGACCGCCGGGGUCAACUCGGAGGAAGGUGGGGACGACGUCAAGUCAUCAUGCCCCUUAUGUCUUGGGCUGCACACGUGCUACAAUGGCCGGUACAAUGAGCUGCGAUACCGCAAGGUGGAGCGAAUCUCAAAAAGCCGGUCUCAGUUCGGAUUGGGGUCUGCAACUCGACCCCAUGAAGUCGGAGUCGCUAGUAAUCGCAGAUCAGCAUUGCUGCGGUGAAUACGUUCCCGGGCCUUGUACACACCGCCCGUCACGUCACGA